This 6015-nucleotide long non-coding RNA is filed under the name Aquilegia coerulea. RNAcentral's name for it is "long non-coding RNA (ACOE_LNC001434)". Lineage: Eukaryota; Viridiplantae; Streptophyta; Magnoliopsida; Ranunculales; Ranunculaceae. The record is from RNAcentral.
GAGACCUCAGAUCCUUCAUAGCUACGAAGUCCUGUGACCUUUUCUUCUUUAUAUAAGAUGUCCAAAUCAUCAUAAUAAGGUACGGGCCUUGAGCGAUACCCUCUUAAAUUAGGAUUUGCCUACAAGUAAACAAAACACCUUCAUUAAUUUUUUUAACAGGUUACAUUCUCUGAGAAUAUAUACUAUACUUUUCUUAAUGUUAUAAUUGAUCUUAGAGCAAUUUCAUCCAGACAUUUAUCUAAUUGACUGUAAUAAAUAAUUAAGUUCAUCCAGUUCAUACAGAAGUCUAGUUGGUUCAUUGUGUCACAUAGACAGGCACACAACAGAGGUAGAUCGACCGAACACACAAAUGUUCAAGCAUCACAAUUAAAUAGUCCUAUGAAACAAAAAAUUACAUACGGAAAUAUCACAAUAAAUCCUAAAAAUUGGAAGAUAUAUAACAACAGAUGUAAGACUGACAGUGUGAAUGUGUAUAAUUCAUACCCAGUAACCCUACAAGGCUACAGCAUGUAUAUUCUCAAGUCAAUGCUUGAAAACAAUCCAAAUAAAUCAAUUAUAGUGAUGUUAGCAAUUUUAAUCAAAUAAAUCAAUUAUAAUACCUCUAUGAACUCUUUCCAAGCCUCGUCAUCCGCUGUGAACAGUUGAGUGUUGGGAUUCCAGCCAAAGCCGCUUUUUUCUUUGCAUUCUCUAGCGUUCUUGUACUUGUCCCUCAAAUAUCUUGUUCUUGCACGAACAUGAUCAACUUUCACAGGCAUGCCAGUACUUUGACAAACCUCUUGAGCAACGCGAGCUAGGGUAUCACUCUUCCAUGUUCCAUCAAGAUGCCUCCCACCUGUGAGAUGUUCUUCCUUCAACACAUGGACAAGACAUUCGUCCAUUUUGGUCGUCCAAUUGAUUCGAGGUUCAGAAGCCGUGCCUAUAUCAGAUGAAAAUUGGGCAACAACUUCUGAACAAAUAUGAAGCAAUUUACAGAAAAACUUCACAAUAAUAAUUUAUAUUCUACUAAAAGAAAAAAACAAAAAAAGAAAAUACGAUCAGCUAAAAUGUUUUCUAAUGCUUUUUAAUCAAAAUAAAAAAGAUUAAGAACAACUAAAAUAGAAAAGAAUGAUCUAGCUAAUAUAGUAAAGAAAAAUAUGAGAUCAAUAAGCAAAGUCAAAGUAGAAACUAGUUUCACAAAAGGGGGAUUUCUCAUUAAUUCAUCACCAAAUUCACUUGAAACUUACAAUUAGCUAAAAAAAUCCUUCGUUAAUAGAAAAUUUGAACACAUUAUAAAAUCCAUAAAUUUUAAACUACAAACGCAUAACAUCACAAACAUAAAAUCCAAUUAAAACAUAAUAACAACAUAUCAAUGCUGAUUUCUAUGUUGAAACUCUUCAAACAUAUCCAAAGACAUAGCAUCUCUUUUCGCAGUCCAUAAUGCACUUCUUUGAAUAACAAUAUCUUCGUUAUCUUCCUCUUCAUAAAACUCUUCUUCAUCUUCACUCUCACUUUCACUAGAAUCAUCUUCACACAUGUCACCUGGAUCUCCAUCUCGUAUAAAGUUGUGCAAAGCACAACAAGCAAUCACUAUCUUCUCUUGUGUGUCUAUGUUAUGGAAAGGGGUAUUCCUCAAAUAGGCAAAUCUUUUCUUCAAAAGUCCGAUUGUCCUCUCAAUAACAUUUCGUAACUGAGAAUGAUAGUAGUUGUACAACUCUUUUGCAUUUCUAGCAUGACGACCUUCUUGAUCAGUUACAUGAUAUCUCACACUUCGAUAUGGUGUAAGGAAUCCACGCACAUUUGGGAAUCCAGCAUCGGCAAGAUAAUACUUACCUAUCAAGUUUAAAAGUUUUAUUGUUAAUCAAUUUUUUCAUAAUAGUAUAAUUAUAUUAGUAUAGGGUAUUUAUAUACUACCAGUGGGCACCGUUAACCUCCGUUCCCUAGGAGCAACUGCACUCCUCAACAAACGUCCAUCAUGUGCUGAUCCUUCCCACCCCACCAUUACAUAUGUAAAUUUCAUAUCAAAAGUACAUGCAACCAAGACAUUUUGAGAAAUAAACCCUUUACGAUUUCGAUAGCUUGGUUGAUCAAUCAAUGGUAUAUUUGCUGGGAUAUGUGUCCCAUCAAUCGCGCCAAUAGCAUCCUAUAUUAGAUAAACCACUUACUUUUAGCAUCCUCAGUAAAGUAACUUAGAAGUAUAUAUUUGGUUGCCAAUUUCACGGACAACUCACCUUGAAGUGAUGAUGCCAAGGCUGCCCAUAGCUUCCAUCGGCUGGAGAAUUAUCUUUUGUGGCGGGUUUCACAACAUCUUUAUAGAGUUUAAGAAAUGCUCUCAGAACCACAUGAAAGUAAUGACUGACAGUUUGGGUUGAUCGAAAGAAAUGAAGUUCAGAAUUACAUAGACGAGUAUCAUGACCAACCGUAUACAAGAAAAUGGCCACUUGCUCCUUCACUGACACGAAACGACUAUCCACUAACCCAUAAGAACGCAAACGAGCACAUAGUCGAUUAAAUGGGCCUAUUUUUAGUCUUAGGUUUUUAUGACAAAUCCGAUCACUCUCACUAUACAUUCUUUCAAGUAUUGCCGACCUCUCUUGAUCUCUAUUUCUAUAAGGACCCCUAAGAAACCUCCUCCUACGUAAACGACAAUAGAGAAUAGAAAAAUUCAUGAGGAUAGUCAUAAGAGCGGCAGCUGCACGUCGUUUUUGUUCUAGAGUGGGCAUUCCGUUAUAUGACUAAAAUCCAAAAAAAAUAAAAUUAAAUAAGAACCAAUUCACAUUCAAUGAAACAAAAUAGAUUUUCAUCAAUUACAACACACAAAUUAAAUGAAAUGAUGACUGUAGCUUUUGUGCAGGAAAACAGCUUGGAAAGCAAAUUUAUAAAUGAGGAAUCAUCAAUGAAAAAAGAAAGUAUUGUAAUAAUAGUCUAUUAAACAUAUAUGACAUAAGUACUGGACUACUGGGUAGUGGUUACCUCUGUAUUUGACUUGUAGACAUUGUAUAAGUAAUUUGGUAGGAUAUCAGAAUAAUGGAGCAUCACACUAAUGAGAAAGAAAUGGAUUUUAUGGUGAUCACCUUAGUAAAAAUCCGUUAUACGAAGUGCAGGAUGACAUAGAAGAUUACCAGUUCAUUCAAAUAUGAAGACCAUGUGAGUAAAAUAAUUCAAAGUGUUAAAGAAAGAUUACCAGUUCAUUCAAAUACAAAUACUAGAAAUUAAGUACUCCUGUACACUUGACACAAAAACACGCUAAAAAGUUUUCUUUAUUUGACAAGCUUUAGUGAAUUAAUCCUUUUCCAAACCUUGACAUGGUAUGGCAGUAUGCCAACUCAAGGUGUUAUCAGAGAAUGUGCCUAAAACUCUAUUUGCAAUUCCUGUGUAACUAUGGAUACGACCUUUCUACAAUCAAACUCAUUACUACUGUGCACAGUCGAUUUCAAUGUUCUGAUAACUCUACUAAGGAAAUGAUUUUUGAGCUCAACUACCCAACUAUUGCUAUUUCCCACCCAACCAUGAAAGGUAGUAAGUCUGUUAAUAGAAUGGUCACAAACGUUGGAGCUGAUGAUGAAACAACUUACACAGUAAGCGUAAUUUCUCCUGAUGGACUAGAUGUUGCAGUGAUCAGGACUUUUCUGCAGUCAUGGAAGCAUUGAAACCAAGGUUGCAAACCCCAAACUAAGAGACCACUCUCAUUCCACAUGUUCACUUGUUGGGUCUGUCAUGGUAGUUCCUGGCCGUGUUUGUAUUUAACUCGGUUUUCAUAUCCCUUGGUCAGGGAUUAACCAAGGACAGAUUGAAGUGGAAUUUUUUUGUGUCAAAACUCAAAACUACAGAGUAGUUAAAUGAAUCAAUAUUUCCACAUUCUGUAUUCCAAGUUUGUAUUCAACAAGUAUUACGAAAAUGGCUGGUAGCUUGUGACAGUCUACUCUACUAUUCAAAAUGGCUAGUAGCCUGGACAGUCUACUCUAUCAAGGUUUUACAUUCGGACAGUAUGUUGUAUUGAUAAACUUUAACAACCAACUAAAUUCAUAGAAAUGAUUGGAAGGCAGUCUUUAAGCUUAUGCUUCACCAUUACUGGACUAUGUGUCAUGUUAAAAAUCUAUCAUUAUUGUCUAAUUCAAUUAUGUGCCAUAAGACCACAUUUCAUUAUUACGCCUAAAAUACUAAAAUUCACAAAAGCUGGGAGCAAACUGAGCUACCAAGUUGUUUUCUCAACUACAACAUCCUCUCCAAGAAAUAGAACACUAAAUAAAGCUUUCGGAAUCAAAUAUAAACCUAAAGAUAUAUACCACCAAAACUUUAAACAUAGAGUAAAGCAAAUCCUACAAAAGAGAAAAAUAAUCAAGAGAAUCCAAGUGAAUAAGGUAAACAAUCCUACAGUUCUGCAGCUCAGAAAGAUAAAGUUUUCUUUAGUGUUUGGGGCUCCAUGAAUAAAAUAAGAGAGCUUGGUUCUUUAGAGUUUAGAUAACAUGAGUGUGGGCACUAUGAAGACACAGAUACACGCACCUUAGUAUACCUCUUUGGUAGGUUAGACUUGGGUUACUGAUUUCUUCCUUCAUUUAUGCUUUAAAAUGGGAUUAAUGAUUACUAAACACAAUUUUAUACCAUUAACAUCUUGUCUUCUUAUUUUAUUUACCUAAUCUGGUCAUCUAGUUGUAUACUUUAUACAGGUAUAUGUAGAAAUAUUGAGACCAGACCAUCUUGCUAGGGAGUGCAGUUUGAAAUCUGAAACCUAACCGAAUAAAUUUUAGUUUCAAUCGAAUUUCGAUUACACAUAAAUUUUCACUAUAAAUGCAGUACAUCCAAAUGUAAUUGAAUAGGACUUUUGAGUUGGAUGUUGAGUGAAUCCAACUCAAACUCAGAUCAGAUUCUGAUCAAAACCCUUAUCCAUAAUCAAGCUCAGAUAGAUCAUAGAUGUGAAUACAAAGAGAUCAUCUGAUACGUUGUUGUAAAAUUGGAAUAUUAAAGUGGUGAUCUCUAAGAACAACUAGGUCAAACCUCUUAAAUUGGAAUUAUCUCAACCCUUUUUAUGUGAAUGUGUCACCAAACAAGGGGACGAGCAACAACCCGACCACAAUCUAGGACAUUUUUAUAACCAAAUUUUCUUCAAAAAAACCAUACACUUGCAAUGUAAAGAUCUCCAAAACCCAUAUAUGUAUUGCUAUCUAUACCAAAUGAUUAACAACUUCGAUCAUAUAAAAAAUACAUACCUUCUGGCUUCUCCUUUCGACUUUUUUUUUCCUUCGCCAGCUUAACCUAAAACCCCAUUAACAAACAAAGAGAGAUUCAUUAGAGAAGAUUUGAUAUACAAAACUUGAAACGUUCAAAUUCAAGUUUAAAAUUAAUAACUCUUUUUACUUUUUAAACCUUCAAAUCAAUCUCAUUACCAGAUCUAUCAAUAACCCACUUUCAAAAAUCCAAUCUUUAUUCAAACCCACAUUCAAAAUGCACUCAAAUCAAUCUCAUUACAGUAAGUGUAGAAAUAGAGAGAAGAAGGAAUGAUAAAUCUAAAGCUAAUAAUGAAGGUUCAUUUAAGAAAAAAACAGUUUCAUUCUAAAUGACAAAUACAGAGAAAGAGAGUGAUUUAGGAGGAAGAAGAUAAGAAAAAUCUAAACAUAUUUUUCAUUGUAUUCCAUGAAUCUAAAAAUGGAGAGUUGGAGAACAAAAUCGAUUUAAAUUCAAAUUUGUUUAAAUUAAAAAAAAAACGAAUUUAAAAUAAUCCCACAAUCAAGUCGAUUUGAAUCUAUUCAUUACCUUGAUGAAAUCCCUGCUUGUAAAUGAUGGAGGAGAGAGAUGGUGCUUGUGAAUGAUGGAGGAAAGAGAAGAGAAAAGGGAGAAGAGAAAAGAAAAGAGGGAGAAGAGAAGAGAACGCAGAGAAGAGUCGGGGAAUUUUUUUUAGGGGUGGGCUAGGGAAUGUUUCGCGAGAAACAUUUUCACAAAGGAAUUUUUACGGGCCCAACUUAUCCAAUCAAACGGACAUUAGGAAAAUUUGAUGGUAAUGUUUGACGUGGGAAUUUUUCCCACGACCAAUCAAACACACCC